GCCCGGGUAGCCGAAUUGGUCCAGGCAGCGCGCUUAAAACGCGUGACCCCUCGGGGUGUGCGGGUUCGAAUCCCGUCCCGGGCA
This 84-nucleotide transfer RNA is filed under the name Thermoleophilaceae bacterium. RNAcentral describes it as "tRNA-Leu". It matches the Rfam family "tRNA". From Rfam's summary of the family: Transfer RNA (tRNA) molecules are approximately 80 nucleotides in length. Their secondary structure includes four short double-helical elements and three loops (D, anti-codon, and T loops). Further hydrogen bonds mediate the characteristic L-shaped molecular structure. tRNAs have two regions of fundamental functional importance: the anti-codon, which is responsible for specific mRNA codon recognition, and the 3' end, to which the tRNAs corresponding amino acid is attached (by aminoacyl-tRNA synthetases). tRNAs cope with the degeneracy of the genetic code in two manners: having more than one tRNA (with a specific anti-codon) for a particular amino acid; and 'wobble' base-pairing, i.e. permitting non-standard base-pairing at the 3rd anti-codon position. RNAcentral also lists the same sequence under 2 other names. The record is from RNAcentral. Lineage: Bacteria; Bacillati; Actinomycetota; Thermoleophilia; Thermoleophilales; Thermoleophilaceae.